AUCCAUCUGACCAGUCCCAAAUAGGGCGAAACGCCCGUUAUGAAU
RNAcentral lists this non-coding RNA (45 nucleotides) under Schistosoma mattheei. Lineage: Eukaryota; Metazoa; Platyhelminthes; Trematoda; Strigeidida; Schistosomatidae. The record is from RNAcentral.